RNAcentral lists this microRNA precursor (92 nucleotides) under Medicago truncatula (barrel medic). RNAcentral describes it as "MIR5298 microRNA precursor family". It matches the Rfam family "MIR5298 microRNA precursor family". The record is from Rfam by way of RNAcentral. Lineage: Eukaryota; Viridiplantae; Streptophyta; Magnoliopsida; Fabales; Fabaceae.
UUAGAUUUUCUUCAUUUUCUUCUGGAAUUUUUCUGGGACUCUUGUAGUUGAAAGGUUGAUGGAGAUGAUAUAAAGAUGAAGAAGAGGAAGAA